AGAGUUUGAUCAUGGCUCAGGAUGAACGCUAGCGGUAUGCUUUAACACAUGCAAGUCGUACGGAAAAGAAAUUUUUAGUGGCGGACGGGUGAGUAACGCGUGAGAAUUUGCCUUUAGGAAGGGGAUAACAACUAGAAGUAGUUGCUAAGACUCUAUAUGCCGUUUGGUGAAAAAAGCAAUUUGCCUAAAGAGAAGCUCGCGUCUGAUUAGCUAGUUGGUGGGGUAAAGGCCUACCAAGGCGACGAUCAGUAGCUGGUCUGAGAGGACGAUCAGCCACACUGGAACUGAGACACGGUCCAGACUCCUACGGGAGGCAGCAGUGAGGAAUUUUCUGCAAUGGGCGAAAGCCUGACAGAGCAAUACCGCGUGGAGGAUGAAGGCCUACGGGUUGUAAACUUCUUUUCUCAAGGAGGAAGAUCUGACGUUACUUGAGGAAUAAGCAUCGGCUAACACUGUGCCAGCAGCCGCGGUAAUACAGGGGAUGCAAGUGUUAUCCGGAAUCAUUGGGCGUAAAGCGUCUGCAGGUUGAUAUUUAAGUCUUUUGUUAAAUCUCCGGGCUUAACCUAGAAUCUGCAAAAGAAACUAUAUAUCUUGAGUAUGGUAGAGGUAAAGGGA
Molecule: ribosomal RNA, 615 nt
Filed under: uncultured Crater Lake bacterium CL0-93
Lineage: Bacteria
Description: bacterial SSU rRNA
Rfam family: Bacterial small subunit ribosomal RNA
Source: RNAcentral